GGCAGAUGUAACUUGUGGGACAGCAACAUCCAUUUUGUUUCCAGGUACUGACAAGGAAUGCAGAACCCACCGAGGAUGGCAGUGUGGAAACACAGGAGGUGCCAGCAUCACUGAGCAACUGACCAGGGGGACACGAUACGUGGAGCUGGGACAUGAGGUGACAACGUGAAGAAAGAACCCGGUCACACUGAGAAACCAGAAAUUGCUGAAAGUAUGAAGGAACCUGGGUCCUUGAUAACCCAGGGCUGACCUUGCAUCCACUUGUCACCAGGCUGGUGAGAUGGAGACAAGGACUAUCCUCAUGUGCUAAAUAGAAACUGGCCAAGUUUCUAUUAUGUGUGGGCAAAAAUCAUUCUCAACGAUUUUACACCUCUCUUGUUGGAAAGUAGACUAAAUUGAUUUAUAAAAUAAAUGAAGUAAACAUACA
This is a non-coding RNA of Ictidomys tridecemlineatus (thirteen-lined ground squirrel), 427 nucleotides long. NCBI's taxonomy places the organism in Eukaryota, Metazoa, Chordata, Mammalia, Rodentia, Sciuridae. The record is from RefSeq and is a predicted model, not a curated record.